AACCUCCGCAAUGUGAGAAAUCGCGACGGGGGGAUUCCAAGUGCCAUUCUUAACGGGAUGGCUUUUCAUUAGUGUAAAGAGCUUUUGGAAUAAGGGCUGGGCAAGACCGGUGCCAGCCGCCGCGGUAACACCGGCAGCUCUAGUGGUAGCAGUUUUUAUUGGGCCUAAAGCGUCCGUAGCCGGUUUAAUAAGUCUCUGGUGAAAUCCUGUAGCUUAACUGUGGGAAUAGCUGGAGAUACUAUUAGACUUGAGACCGGGAGAGGUUAGAGGUACUCCCAGGGUAGAGGUGAAAUUCUGUAAUCCUGGGAGGACCGCCUGUUGCGAAGGCGUCUAACUGGAACGGUUCUGACGGUGAGGGACGAAAGUUAGGGGCGCGAACCGGAUUAGAUACCCGGGUAGUCCUAACUGUAAACGAUGCGGACUUGGUGUUGGGGUGGCUUUGAGCUGCUCCAGUGCCGAAGGGAAGCUGUUAAGUCCGCCGCCUGGGAAGUACGGUCGCAAGACUGAAACUUAAAGGAAUU
Molecule: ribosomal RNA, 521 nt
Filed under: uncultured bacterium
Lineage: Bacteria
Description: bacterial SSU rRNA
Rfam family: Archaeal small subunit ribosomal RNA
Source: RNAcentral